UACGGGAGGCAGCAGUGGGGAAUAUUGCACAAUGGGCGCAAGCCUGAUGCAGCCAUGCCGCGUGUAUGAAGAAGGCCUUAGGGUUGUAAAGUACUUUUCAUCGGGGAGGAAAAAACAAAAACUAAUAAUUUUAUUUCUUGACGUUACCCGAAAAAGAAGCACCGGCUAACUCCGUGCCAGCAGCCGCGGUAAUACGGAGGGUGCUAGCGUUAAUCAGAAUUACUGGGCGUAAAGAGCACGUAGGUGGUUUUUUUAAGUUCAGAUGUGAAAUCCCUGGGCUUAACCUAGGAACUGCAUUUUGAAACUGAAAUACUAGAGUAUCGUAGAGGGAGGUAGAAUUCUAGGUGUAGCGGUGAAAUGCGUAGAUAUCUGGAGGAAUACCUGUGGCGAAAGCGGCCUCCUAAACGAAUACUGACACUGAGGUGCGAAAGCGUGGGGAGCAAACAGGGAUUAGGAUACC
RNAcentral lists this ribosomal RNA (460 nucleotides) under uncultured bacterium. RNAcentral's name for it is "bacterial SSU rRNA". It matches the Rfam family "Bacterial small subunit ribosomal RNA", at positions 340 to 786 of the family's 1533-position model. The record is from RNAcentral.